GGCAGGGUAGCUCAGCUGGUUAGAGCGCGACACUCAUAACGUCGAGGUCGCGGGUUCAAGCCCCGCCCCUGCUACUA
The sequence is a transfer RNA, 77 nucleotides long. It matches the Rfam family "tRNA". Rfam says of the family: Transfer RNA (tRNA) molecules are approximately 80 nucleotides in length. Their secondary structure includes four short double-helical elements and three loops (D, anti-codon, and T loops).